RNAcentral lists this long non-coding RNA (2530 nucleotides) under Triticum aestivum (bread wheat). RNAcentral describes it as "long non-coding RNA (TAES_LNC015937)". Lineage: Eukaryota; Viridiplantae; Streptophyta; Magnoliopsida; Poales; Poaceae. The record is from RNAcentral.
UUUUAUUAAUUUGGGCUGAUGUUUAAAUGUUCACCAUUUUGGCCUACAUCAGAAUACUGAGAACAAAACAAUAUUUGCUUAUUAAGGCAUAACACACAACACCUCUUGUGCUAUAGGAAAACACAUAAACAGAGGGGAAAUUGGACAUAGAAUCGCCAAGUAGGUGAACUGAAAAGCACAAAUAACAGUUACUGGAAAAGAACACAACAUCCUUAGCGUUGCGUCGACCACCUGUGGCAAAGGUGAAUGGCUUCCGGUGGUAGAGGUGAACAACAUGAUCGCUCUGUCAUCACACGACCUCGUGUGGAGGAGGUGAAUGGCUUGUGGUGGCAAGGGUGAACGGCUUGAGCGUUGCAUCAUCAAACGGCCUGGGCCAUGAAGGUUCAAGCAGGUUCAAGAAGUGGUGUUGAGAGGCUGUGUGGGACUAUAUUUGUAGUGUCUGAAUAAGUUCAGUAGCUGCUCACCACGCACACCUACUCAACUGCUUCAUGCCACCGUUCCUGCACACACACAACAGACACCAAUUAGCAUGCACAAGUUCAUGUAAAAAGAACAACAAGUUCAUGUACAGUAACAUGUAAUGUUCACAACGAAACCUAAAAAGAUGUGUACUUUGAAAUACUUCAUUAUACUUCCGAAAUACUUCAUUUGUUUUGAAAUAUGAACUUCUAUAUUUAUUUCCAUAGAACUUAUUAUGUUUUCCCUCCAAACUACAAGAACAUGAUUAGUUUACUUACCCACAAAAUAUUUUAUUCAAAUAGUUCCCAAAUACUUUCUAUUUUUUUAUAAGCGAACUGAUGAAAAUCUUCACGGUGCACUUCGGUAUUUUAUUCAAGGUGAACUGAUGUAUUUGCAAUACAUAGUUACAUACUACAUCAAGGUGAUAUCUCUGUACUUACAAACUUUAUGGAAGGUGAACUCAUAAUUUUUCUUUAGAACUUUGUUUCUUUUUUCUUCGAACUGGUACCAAUUUCCACCAUGUACUUGUGUGAUUUUAUUUUCAAACAAUACAAGACAAGAGCUUUAUUUACAUCGUCGAUACAUGUCCAACCAUUUAUUUUCUAGAAAGCAAGCAAAUGUCUUUAUCCUAUUUAUAUAACCCAACCUUUUUUUGUAGAAAUGAAGAACAUAAUAGAGCAAAAAGUAGAAGCUUGAUCCCAAACAGUAUUAGAAUUUUAGUGCGCACAUAAGAAGAAAUAGCAAAUACGAGUGCGGAGCAGCAGCAAUACAGAUAUGUCGAAGUUCUAGAAUUUGAUACAAAAAAUGAAGUAGCUUGGUCUGUUGACAAGGGGUGAAGCCAGAGGAGUGGGGUGACAUCCUCGACAGCUACCUACACGCAGUGCAAGAAUAUGUUUGCAUUUAAGUUCAGAGAACAAAUGCAUUUAAGUAACAAUAAAAUGAGGUUUAGUUUCGGUUGCUGUACACUUGGUGUCCUCCGUUACUUUCAUCUAGUUUGCUGCUGCAUCCAUCAUCCAUGUUAUAAUUGUCAAAGUAAGAUCAUAAUGAUAGUGCACUUUUUUUUGUCAUCCUGCAAGAUGUUCAAGGACCAGGACAACAUGUAGUUUUAGAAUUACAGAUUGUGGUCAGCUAUAGGAUGUUUCUGGUACCAUGUUUUAGCUACGAGAGAGCAACAACAUCACAUCAUGAGAGAGAGGAUGCAGCAUCAACAAUUCAGGAGAAAGAUCAGAGCAUAGCAGGAGUAAAUAUGUUUUGAGGAGAUGAACUGACCAGGAUUUAAAUGAACUCUCACUAGUAGUAAUUUUUGUACUUCGCAUGUAGUACUACAUGGACUUGCUGUAGAUGAAGGCACCGAUCUGGUGUGAUGUACGCGGUUCGAUAUGAAAAAAUAUACAAUCAUUAUGUUUUUUAAUAGUUUUAAUUUUGGCUGAACUUAUCUUUUCUAAUUCAAACUUACAGUUUUUUGUAGGGGCAUGCUGCUGCCCAAGAAACGCCAUGGAGCUUUUCUGAACAAAAACAAACGAAUAAAAAAGGAUCAAACCUUUAAUUCGAACUACUCUGAACUUGUCUGGAGAUUUUUCUUGAACUGAAGUAUGCUUGGAUUGGGAGACCACACUAGAAUAAUUCAGGCAGACAUGAUGUGGAGAUUUCUUCUAAUCCAGGUACCAGGCUAAUGUGUGCCAAGAACAAACACACAUGAACUGAUGAAAAUACACAAGGCGACACUAGGUAUCUUUCGAGAGACGGACUGAGAGGCGAGUGACUAGUGAGAACACACACACAGACUGACUAGAACAAACACACACAAAGUGACGCUCACUUGCGAUUGAGAGGCGAGGCAGACUACGUGGAUCCAUUGACACGAGCAUGCUUUUCCCUCGAGAACGAUUUGACAACUAUGAUUAAGAAUAUAUAGAUCAAAUCCCUCAUUCAACAAUAAGAGCAAAAGCCGUUCAAGUAAACAAAGUGGCCAUCAGCACGCGUAAAUCAAGGCCGUCAGUUCAAGCAUUGUGUGGCCAGCAUGAAAUGUGCUUGAAUAUUAGCUGAACUUUGUACAGGGAUCUAAACUUAC